RNAcentral lists this long non-coding RNA (2983 nucleotides) under Panax ginseng (ginseng). RNAcentral describes it as "long non-coding RNA (PGIN_LNC005030)". Lineage: Eukaryota; Viridiplantae; Streptophyta; Magnoliopsida; Apiales; Araliaceae. The record is from RNAcentral.
GAUAAGGUUGCUAGAAUAAAAGAGAAAGAAAAAGAAAAGAUAAGGAUUAGAUGAGAAAGGGAGAGAAAGAAGAAAUGGGAGGAAGAGAGGGAGAGAAAAGGGAAGUGGCCGAAGCCCUUGUGUGGGAAGAGGAGGAGAUGGAAGGAUCUCCAUGAAGAAGAAGGAAGAAGGAGAAGAAAAGAAAGGUAUAACAUCUCUCUCUAAUCUCUUUCUAUGGAAUUUUUAUGAAAGGGGGUUUUGAUUUGGAUGUUCAAACCCUUAAGAUCUAUGUGUUUUCUAUGGAUUUAUGUAUGGAUUUACUCAUUUUUGAUGUUGAUUUGGGUGAAUCAAAAGAAUAAAGAAAAUUUAUUUUCUAGUUUUGAAUCCGAAAUUUCCUAGUACUUUGAAAUUUCACCGUUUUAAAUCUAUGACUUCUUUUUGCGAUCCGUCAAAAAGGGAUGUUAGAUAUAUGUGUUUAGUAGUUAACCCAAGUGGUAGUACUCAAAAAUGUUGAGUUUACAUGGGGUAGUGACUGAUUUGGUGAAAACAGUUCCGUUUUUAUAACCAAAAAUGGGCAGAUUCGGGGCAGUCAGUAGCGAGGGCAAUUUCGUCCAGUUUUUGUGCUUUAAAAAUUCUGGGCUUUUGGUAUGUUGUAGUACUCUGAUUUAGCUUUCCAUAGACUCCGGAACGGACUAAUUCCGAUUCCGGAUGAGGUAGUUAUGGCGUUCGGGAGAUGUGUAUCAAAACUGUUAAUCAAAUUCCGAACAGCCACCUUUGUGUAAAUUUCUGGACUGAUGUGUUAUGAUUUUGGAAAAAUGUCGUGAGACAAAAGUUGUAGCCCUGGAAGUUAUCUUCGCGUGGGCUCAAGAAUCGCUCAAAAAUGUUUUAAAACGCGAGAGUUAUGGCUGUUUUAGUGAGGCUGGGUAAAAAUUUUAAAAAAAAUCAAAAGUGUCCAAAAAUAGGAAAAAUGCGAUGUAUGAAGUGAGACCCGUGAGCAUGGCGUAUGCAAGUUUGUAAUGAAGUUUUGGGUCGGGUUUAAGGUGUUGUGAUGUUUAUGACAUUUUAAAAUGUUUAAACAAGUUUAUUAAUUACGGGAAGGAAAACAAUUGAAAUAAUUGUUUAUUUAAGUGAUUAAUGACAUAAAUUAUUUUUAUGUGACUAAUAAUAUGGUAUUGAGAUAUUAUUAGUAGUAUGUGACUGGAAUGUUAUUAAAAGGUUAGUAACCUUAGCGUAAAAUAUUAUUACAUAAUUAAUAAUAUUUGACGGGAGAUUUAAUAAGAGAUUUAUGAUAUUUUUCAAUGUAAUUGUUGAAAUUGAUAUUCAAUGAAGUAUAUUAUGUGUUUGGGCAUAUGAUAGAGAAAUAAUAAGUCAUAAUAAUCUAAUAAAGUCUUAUGGUGCGAAAUUUGACUAUAAGUAAUAUUUUAUGCCGAGAAACUUUCUUUCAGGCAUAAAUAAAGCAAUAAAAAUAUGUAAUAAAUAUAAAUUACAUAUUUAAGCGAAAAAUAUAUAUAUAUAUAUAUAUAGUUGCCUAUAAAAAUUAUUUUGUGGUGGAACAAAGAAUGUAAAACCUUUGAAAUAUUGUAUUAAUCAUAAAAAUGAUAUUUUGAGGUUUUCGGUGCUCAAAAUGAAGUUUUUGAGCUGAGAUUUACGUAACGAAGCAAAAAUGCGAAUAAUCGUAAAAUGAAAAAUAAAGCGAAUGUGCUAGUGAGAUAAAAUGUUUAUAUAUGAGGCAAUAGUCAGUGUUGACUCAUGAACGGACAAACUGAAGUAAAAGUUAUUUAAAGUGAAGAAAUAAUAUAGUAAAUUGAUUUUUACUAUAAAAGCUAUACAUUAGCUGUUUAAACUCCGAAUUUGCGAGUAGAGGUAAAAGAUAUUUCUGAAAUGAAAUUUAAAUGGUUUAAGUUUCAAGAUGUAAAGUAUUUGCAUCUUAAAAUGUGUGAGACCUUUAUUAUUUAUGAAACAAGUAAAAUAUUAUUACAUGAUUAAUAAUAUUAGAAGGUGAUUACAAUAUUAUUAAAUGAUUAAUAAUAUUAGUAAAGGAUUUAAAUAUUAUUAAAUGAUUAAUAAUAUUUGUAAAUGAUAAAUAUUCUAUAAAAAGAAUAUUAGGCAAAAGUUUAAGAUAAUGGAUAAGUGAUAGUAAUAUUAUUAAGGGAUAAUAAUAUUACUAAUGAGUUAAAGAAUUAUUUAAUGUUUAAUUAUGUGGCUAAAUGUUAGCUAAUUUAUUAUUUGAGUAAUAGUGUUGUGGGAUAAAAUGUAUUAUGCUAAUUGGAGGAUCGAUCUUAUUAAUGAUAGGUCUUUUAUAAGAGAUUAAAUUGAUUGCUUAGCGGUAAUCAACGGUACAGGCAAGUUCCUAAACUUGAACUUCUAAUUAUUGUGCAAGUUUCCUAACUCAACUUGAGUUAAUUCAAAGCAUGUUAGUGGUUAAUUAUUGUUGAUUAUACCACGUCAAUAAUUUAUUGAUUCGCACAUUGUGCAUGUUGUUUAUGUUCAUCAGGUAUGAAAGGCUGAUCACCUUCAUUACCAUAGGUUUCAGUUAAACUUGUUCAUGUUAAUUGUUGACAUCCAAUAUCAUUGGUUCAGUCAUUCAAUCAUUGAAACUUGAUUCAUGUUAUUUCACAAUUAUUAUAUUGUUGAAAACUUGAAAGCUUAUUCAUUCUUUUCAAUCAUGAUAUAUCUCCAUUGUAUGUAAAACUUGCUGGGCAAAUUUGUUGCUCACCCUUGCUAUAUCAUGAUAAAAUUUUCAGAUUAAGAUGAAGGCUUGAAUAAGGACAGAGGCAAAGACAAAGUGCAAAGUUUUUUUUUAUGUUGCAGUUAGAUUUAUUAAAUUUUCUGACGAAAAUAGUAUUGUAAACCUUUUUAAUAUUGAAGGUAUGUAUUAAGUUAAGGUUGUAGACCUUGGGACUGAUGUGUAAAGUUUAAUGUAUAAACAAUGUAUGUUUAUAUCUUCCGCAAUAGUUAUAGAAAUAGCGUACCGGAUCCGCGGCGAUUUGGGACCCGGAUUCGG